Molecule: non-coding RNA, 2932 nt
Organism: Chrysemys picta bellii (western painted turtle)
Lineage: Eukaryota; Metazoa; Chordata; Testudines; Emydidae
Source: RefSeq, a predicted model, not a curated record
GUCACCGCCCCUCCCCGCGGCUCUCCGCUCUUGCGAAGGCUGGAGUUUGCUCACCGGGGAGUUUCGCUUCACACCGCGCUGGCUUCGUGCCCUGCGCGAGGUCACAGCAGCAGGGGAGCUCGCUGCUGAGGCCAAAGGGUUGGCAAUUCUGUAGCCUGAAAUCUCUGAAGAACAGAAAACCAAAGAAGACAGAGUAAAAGAGGAGAGAUCUGGGCUCAGGAACCGGAAAGGAUCCCAUCUCCUUGGAUCUGUGAAAAAUUGUAGUAAAAUCAACACAAUUACACAGUCUGAAGCAGCCCAAGUAACUGCUCCCCCAAGAGAAAGCAGUUUUCUCUACGAAGCAUUGAGACCCCGAAGGUCCCUCUGUUCGCUGGACCUGCAUGAGAGACUGGAAGUAUUUCAGAGAAAGCUACCUCUGAGGCCUUGGACCUGUAAGCCUUCUACCUAGUAGUCUAAAUUUAACUUCCAGGACCUCUCUUCUAGAUCUCUGGUACCAAGAUGUAACAUGACCACAGAGUCCUCUCUAGCUCUUUCCAAAAAGGACUUCAUUGGGAGCUCCUGGGAAAAUCAGGCCACUUAUUUAGGUGCCUAUUUUUGCCAUUAGGAGUGUUUGAAAAUCUUGGGUGAAGUAAUACGUUACAAAAUUACAGUAUGGAUGAGGACGGGGAACCUAACUUUACGCUCCCAUUUUUGAAAAUUUUGGCCAUAUCACUUUCCAAAACUAUAAUCACUUGGGCUAAAAUUUGCUUGGUUUUUGCUUAAAUGUGACUUGUUUGUAAAUUCUGAAGACAUCUAUUCACUUAGAGUUGAAUUUUCUACUACACUGAAGAAUUGGAGGGGUUCAGAGAAAAGCAACAAGAAUGACUCGGAGCGUGGCAAAAACACUCUCAUAUGAACAGAAAUGGAAAAGUCUGGGGCUGUUUAUCUUAGAAUGGAGCUGAAUAAGAAGGGACAUGACAACAAGUUGAUAAAAUAAUGAAUGAUAUUUAGGUUAAAUAGGGAGAAUUGAAGCUACCUGUCUCAUAACACAAGAAAAUGAAAUCAAAAGGUGGCAAAUUCAAAACUGAUAAAAGGAAAUAUUUUUUCACACAACAUAUAAUUAGGCUGUAGGAUUCAUUGACACGGGCUACUGAGGUCAAGAAUUUUGCAAGACUCAAAGAGUAGAUUGGAUGGUUAUAGGGAAAACAAGAAUAUCCAGAGUUAUAAUAAUUAAUUGGAAAAAAUAUUGGAAGGUAUAUUCAACCUCAUACUUCAGGGAUUAAGCCAAUGUCUAACUAGUUAGAAUUCAGAGGUGACUGUGGGUGCAGAUUACCCGAUAUCUGCCUACUGUGCCUGUCUUGCGUAAAGGGUGAGUGGAAAGAUAACUGCAAUCUUCUUAAAAUGACAAUGGCCAGCACCAGAUGCUUCAGAGGAAGGUGCAAGUCUAUCUACUUCCCAGCUGCAAGGUAGCCAUAACCCUGUAUUUCAUUUCUCACCCCUCUUUUUUAAAUAUGUGCACACAGGUUAAAAAUGGCAUUUAUGGAAGAGAAGAACAUCCUGCACACAGAGGUGCCAGCUAUAAAUCUGCCACUGUUAAUAUCUCUCAAUCUCGCCCUCAUGAUCAGUUGUGCCUCCCAAUCAACCCUCUCCAUCCAUUCUAUGCUUUCACUCACUUCUCUCAGCCCACUAACCCACCAGUGAUUCACCUCUCACACCUUACCCACUACUUUCACUCUCAGUCACUGGCCCGCCAGUGUCACUUUAUCAGUCUUGCUCUCAUCAAACCAUUUCUUUCAGACACCCACCCCUCUUAUCCACCUCUCACACCCGAUGCAGAUAGGGACUUUAGUCAAUGUUCAGUCUGAGAUUCUUGGGUCAGAAGAUGCUAAGAGAGCGAUGACGGCAAUGGAUUGGAAAUCCUAUUGUCAGGAGAUGUGGCAUGUGUUCCUGGUGUUACAUGUUUCCGAGUUCCUGUGUGAGUUUGUGUCAAGUCCUUAGGCCCAGAUCCUCAAAGGUAUUUAGAGACUUAAUAUCGCAGAGGAUCUGGGCCUUACUUACAACAAGCCUUACUUACAACUAGCCCUGGGGUUAGUCAAGUGGGAUUUGUUAACCCUUCCCCCGCCCCCCCUUGACAUUCUGUACCCCAAUGCAAUACCGUGAGACCUUCAUAUUUACCAUGGUGAUAUGAUUAGGAUAUGUUUUAUACAAAGUAUGUCAUGUAAGGUAUCAAUGGAAAAGUUAUGACUUGUUGAAUAUGAUUACCCCAUUUGUAUGUAUGUAUCAUUUUUGUAUCAAAGUUAUGAAUAUUGACUAUGUACCAGUAUUUCAAAUGCGUCUGUUCCUAGGUAACACCCACAAAGUAAUUUACAUCCAGUCUAGCCAGCACAUUGUGAAUGAACCAUUCAAGAUAAUGUCCCAUUAAGAAACUCAAUAGGUCUUAGAAGAAGCUUAUCCCCACCCAAUGGACUUCCCCAGAAUAUAGGUAAUGGCCCCUGCUAUGAUUCAUCGAAGUAUGCAAGGGCAUGUGAUCAGAUCAUGUGAUACUGGUCUCCAUCUUGUGCCUGUUCUUUUCCACUGACUUUGUUUGGAGUCUUUGUUUGGAACAAUGAAGUUCCCUCCGCAUGGAAGAAACUAUAAAAGGGGGAAGUGACAUCAUCAAUUGGCCUCACUCUCCCCAUAACUCAACACCUGGAAACAUCUUAGGAACAAAGACUGGACUGGGGAGGUGGUCCCAGGCUGAAGGGAUUUCUAGCCUGUUUAUGGAAGAUUGGUGGACUGUACCAUCAGGGUGAGACACUGCUUGAUUCAAAUCCUGUCUAGUGUAUAGACCUGAUUGCAAUUUUGUUUUAUUUCUUUGGUAACUAACUUUGAUCUGUACACUAUUACUUAUAAUCACUUAAAAUCUAGCUUUCGGUAGUUAAUAAAUCAGUUUUUUUAUAUUUUUUACCUAAAA